RNAcentral lists this ribosomal RNA (397 nucleotides) under uncultured bacterium. RNAcentral's name for it is "partial 16S ribosomal RNA". It matches the Rfam family "Bacterial small subunit ribosomal RNA", at positions 523 to 918 of the family's 1533-position model. The record is from RNAcentral.
AUACGUAGGGGGCGAGCGUUGUCCGGAAUGAUUGGGCGUAAAGGGCGCGUAGGCGGCCCGGUAAGUCUGGAGUGAAAGUCCUGUUUUUAAGAUGGGAAUUGCUUUGGAUACUGUCGGGCUUGAGUGCAGGAGAGGUAAGUGGAAUUCCCAGUGUAGCGGUGAAAUGCGUAGAGAUUGGGAGGAACACCAGUGGCGAUGGCGACUUACUGGACUGUAACUGACGCUGAGGCGCGAAAGUGUGGGGAGCAAACAGGAUUAGAUACCCUGGUAGUCCACACUGUAAACGAUGAAUGCUAGGUGUAGGGGGUAUCGACCCCUUCUGUGCCGCAGUCAACACAAUAAGCAUUCCGCCUGGGGAGUACGGCCGCAAGGUUGAAACUCAAAUGAAUUGACGGGG